RNAcentral lists this ribosomal RNA (1371 nucleotides) under Candidatus Phytoplasma solani. RNAcentral's name for it is "bacterial SSU rRNA". It matches the Rfam family "Bacterial small subunit ribosomal RNA", at positions 134 to 1501 of the family's 1533-position model. Lineage: Bacteria; Bacillati; Mycoplasmatota; Mollicutes; Acholeplasmatales; Acholeplasmataceae. The record is from RNAcentral.
AAGACGAGGAUAACAGUUGGAAACGACUGCUAAGACUGGAUAGGAGAUAAGAAGGCAUCUUUUUAUUUUUAAAAGACCUAGCAAUAGGUAUGCUUAGGGAAGAGCUUGCGUCACAUUAGUUAGUUGGUGGGGUAAUGGCCUACCAAGACGAUGAUGUGUAGCCGGGCUGAGAGGUCGAACGGCCACAUUGGGACUGAGACACGGCCCAAACUCCUACGGGAGGCAGCAGUAAGGAAUUUUCGGCAAUGGAGGAAACUCUGACCGAGCAAUGCCGCGUGAACGAUGAAGUAUUUCGGUACGUAAAGUUCUUUUAUUAGGGAAGAAAAGAUGGUGGAAAAACCAUUAUGACGGUACCUAAUGAAUAAGCCCCGGCUAACUAUGUGCCAGCAGCCGCGGUAAUACAUAGGGGGCAAGCGUUAUCCGGAAUUAUUGGGCGUAAAGGGUGCGUAGGCGGUUAAAUAAGUUUAUGGUCUAAGUGCAACGCUCAACGUUGUGAUGCUAUAAAAACUGUUUAGCUAGAGUUGGAUAGAGGCAAGUGGAAUUCCGUGUGUAGUGGUAAAAUGCGUAAAUAUACGGAGGAACACCUGAAGCGAAGGCGGCUUGCUGGGUCUUAACUGACGCUGAGGCACGAAAGCGUGGGGAGCAAACAGGAUUAGAUACCCUGGUAGUCCACGCCCUAAACGAUGAGUACUAAACGUUGGAUAAAACCAGUGUUGAAGUUAACACAUUAAGUACUCCGCCUGAGUAGUACGUACGCAAGUAUGAAACUUAAAGGAAUUGACGGGACUCCGCACAAGCGGUGGAUCAUGUUGUUUAAUUCGAAGGUACCCGAAAAACCUCACCAGGUCUUGACAUGCUUUUGCAAAGCUGUAGAAAUACAGUGGAGGUUAUCAGAAGCACAGGUGGUGCAUGGUUGUCGUCAGCUCGUGUCGUGAGAUGUUGGGUUAAGUCCCGCAACGAGCGCAACCCUUGUUGUUAAUUGCCAUCAUUAAGUUGGGGACUUUAGCAAGACUGCCAAUGAUAAAUUGGAGGAAGGUGGGGACGACGUCAAAUCAUCAUGCCCCUUAUGACCUGGGCUACAAACGUGAUACAAUGGCUGUUACAAAGGGUAGCUAAAGCGUAAGCUUCUGGCGAAUCUCAAAAAAGCAGUCUCAGUUCGGAUUGAAGUCUGCAACUCGACUUCAUGAAGUUGGAAUCGCUAGUAAUCGCGAAUCAGCAUGUCGCGGUGAAUACGUUCUCGGGGUUUGUACACACCGCCCGUCAAACCACGAAAGUUGGCAAUACCCAAAGCCGGUGGCCUAACUUGAGCAAUCAAGAAGGAGCCGUCUAAGGUAGGGUUGAUGAUUGGGGUUAAGUCGUAAUAAGGUAUCC